RNAcentral lists this unclassified non-coding RNA (3426 nucleotides) under Mizuhopecten yessoensis (Yesso scallop). Its description in RNAcentral is "dynactin subunit 2-A-like, transcript variant X1". The record is from RNAcentral. Lineage: Eukaryota; Metazoa; Mollusca; Bivalvia; Pectinida; Pectinidae.
ACAGGCACUCACUUCCUUUGCGUCAUCCUCCGAAUUAUCAAUCAUGGCAGAUCCAAAAUAUGCAAAUUUACCUGGAAUUGAUUUAAACUCUCCCGAUGUGUUUGAGACCAGCGACCUUCCCGAGGAUGACCAGGCUAUGAAGUCUGAGCCAGUGGGCCAAGAAGAAGUUCCAAAUGAAAACAUUGACAAGAUCACUUUGGACACCAAGACUGCUCUUACAAAAUUCAAAGGAAGGGAUCUUCAGGCUGAAUCAGUUGAUUUUUCUGACAAAAUAGGUGGACAUUUCCGCACGGGAUAUGAUGCCUCCAAAACAGAGUAUGAAAUGCUGGAGGAAGGAGCAGGGAAGAUGGAGUCCCCACAGCAAAAGUUUCAGAGGCUGCAACAUGAAAUAAGAGAACUGUCUGAAGAAGUUCGCAGGAUCCAGGACAAUGUGAAACAGGAGUCGACCUCGGAGAAGAUGACACCAGUCUCCCUGGGUAAACAGUUGGAUUAUCUACAACAUCAACUAAAUGACCUUCACCUUGAGAAAAUUCUUGGUCCGGAGGCUGGCAUUAACCUUGCUGACCCUCAGGGUGCUUUGCAAAAAAGACUGAUGACCCAGCUGGAUUCCUUCCAGUGUGGAGGAGCUGACACUAAAGGAAAGACUCCAACUAAAGGAAAGUCGGAAGGUUCAGCCGACUGUGUCACGUACGAGCUGUAUUAUAGACCAGAACAGGCUCAGUUCAGUAAAAACGCCAGGCUGGCCAGUCUAGAAGAAAGACUUGAGAGGUUGGAAGCAGCAAUAGGUCAGAACCAAGAAAAACUGAGUGUACUAACAGCUGAUACUGCCAACAAAAGUCUUGUGGGUGCAGUGGCUGUUGUGAAUUCCAAGCUUUCCUUACUAGAACAGUCCAAUCUAGAUCAGGUGGAGGCCCGACUUCAAGGGGUACUACAUAAACUUAAAGAGAUUGUUGAGAAAAAGUCUGCUGUGCAGGACGAUCCUGACAAACAGAACAAGAUUGCAGAGCUGUAUGACCUAGUUAAGAAGUGGAACAGUGUAUCAGAAACGUUACCUCAAGUGGUGGACCGUCUGGCUGCUCUCAAGGAACUACACGAACAAGCAUUACAAUUUAGUCAAUCUCUGACCUACUUGGACACGGCCCAGCAGGAAAUAGCUACCAGUCUAAACACCCAUGGAGAUAUGCUUAAACAACUUCAAGGUACUUUCAAACAAAAUAUGGAUGUGAUCAAGGCUAAUUGUGCAAGUCUUGACAACAGAGUGAAAGCUCUACAAAAGUGAAGACCCUGUAUCAGACUUUUAACAUAGUGCUGCCAACAAAGGAUGCAAGACCUGUACCAAAUACUGCCACUCGCCGUUCCAAGACCUGUAACCACCUAUAAAGUUACUGCCUCUUUAGGUCGCAAGAUUUGUAACCAAAUAGUGGCACUCCAGGUUGCAAGAUUUGUAACCAAAUAGUGGCACUCCAGGUCGCAAGACUUGUAACUAGUUAAAGCCAGUUCAAGGUGCAAGUUUUGAAGCUAUAUACUAUAUAUAGCACUACCACGUUAGGGUGCAAUACUUAUUUUGCCAAAUAUACACUAUUUUGGAGGCAAGAGUGGUUACUAAAUACUUUGAGAUUAGGUGAUAAGACUUUUAUCUAAGUUUAGCCUAUUUAGGUUAGAACUGAACAAGGCAAGAGUGCAAACAAUUGUGUUCCCUCUGAAACUUUGUAACUUGUAUCGCUGUUAACUUUAGGUAACGGGGUGGGAAUAACUCCCAUAUAGGUCAAUGAUUGAUGGGUUUUAUUUCUCUGCUUCUUUCCCAUAUAUGUAUUGUGAUAGUCUUCAAUUGUAAUUCCACUCUUAGUAUAUGCCAUGUCAUUCGGAUUUGUUUAUUACAAUGAAAGCUCAUUGCUUCAUGGAAUUGCUUUUUGUGUACAACAGAUAAUAGUUGUCUGUACGCUAGUUUCUGUGCACCAUGGAAACUCCUAGACUAGACUUCCUUGUUUGUGUAGACUUAAAAAACUAUUGUCGGAAAUUGAUGCUUUCCAAGACUAAAGCUUGUUCACUAUUUUUGAAAGAAAGUAAAUUGUCAGUUGUAAAAACUGAAAUUGGAGCAAAAUGUUUUGGAAAUUUGUUCCGACCACAUUCUGUAUAGUAAGUAUUAGGAGUUUGUGUCAUUAAGUGCUAAGAUGUCUAGAUCAUAUGCUGUCUGUUAGUGUCUGUCAGGUGUAAAUGAAGUUUAAUUUAUGUUCAGAAUUGUUUUAAUGGUGUAUUGCAAAGUUAUGCUGGAACAAAAUUACUAUGCUUAUGCUUCAUUUGAAAAAUAUGUAUUUAAACUUCAUAUCUUAUUUAUUUCUAAAGCAGAUCAUGGCAUUAUUUGUUUUAUUGUUUAUAUUAACAACACAUACAAGGAGUUCAGGAGAAAAAAUAUUCCAACAAUAUUGUUUUGUGUUAAGUUUGCAUAUAUAGAUGUAAAUUGUACGGCUUUUUGAAUUUCAUUAUAUGAUGCUAAAACGUAGCAUGAAUGUGCAUACGCCUGUAUUGUAGUCAUGUAUCUAGUCGAAACAUUUGUUAUUCAAUCUUAUUCAGAUGUUUCUUUCAAUCUUAUUCAGAUUUCUCUUCAAAUGUAAAUUUGAUGCCUGAAUCAGAGAGGAAAUAAAUUGAGUCAUCUUGGCUUUACGGAUCAAACAGUAUAAAAUGCUUAAACCAGCCCCUCUCUAAACUAACCCCUCUCUAAUCCAGCCCCUCUCUUAUCCAGAUUCUUCUCUGCACUGGCUUUGACAUUUGGUCCCAGCAUUCCUCUUGAAACCUACAUAUUAUUGUAAAUAACUUUUAAAAAGUUUAUUUUUCUGUUCCAACAACCGUGCUAUACUUCCAGAUAUUGAUUCACAAACUCACUGACUACAUGUUUAAACCAAAUCCUGUAUAAAGGGACAACAUAGUCUGGCUAUAUCCAGUCUAGACAGGCUACACUAAUACCAUACUUAUAAAACAAAAACGUUUUCUUUUUUGACUGGAAUGGUGAUGGAUACAUGUAUGAGUUUCCACUUUUAAAUUUAUUUAAUUGUACAUGUCUUUAGGAAAACAUGGAUUUCGGUUUUGUAACUUAACUUUCAUCAUUUACAUAAAUGUGAGCAUAUGGUUGAUUUGAAGGGUCUGAUAUUGUAAGCAUAAACUGAACAGCAGAACCUUAUUACAUUCUAGACUUUGAAAAAUAAGGGGAGAGUACUUUCUGGAUAUCUGCAGCAUCAUAGAACUGGAGUCAAAAUUGCUUCCAGACUUUUUCAGAGGCCAAAGAAUCCAGAAUAUUUUGAUUAAGUUCCAUUGUACAUGAAGUUUAUAUAGAAACCAUAUAAGAAUGUGCAGGCUAAACUAGAACUUUAUUGUCUAUAUUUAUUGCCAUUAAACAUGAAAAUAAAAUGUUUCAGUUUUCAUGCAACUUAA